This 465-nucleotide ribosomal RNA is filed under the name uncultured bacterium. RNAcentral's name for it is "partial 16S ribosomal RNA". It matches the Rfam family "Bacterial small subunit ribosomal RNA", at positions 338 to 795 of the family's 1533-position model. The record is from RNAcentral.
CCUACGGGUGGCAGCAGUGGGGAAUAUUGCGCAAUGGGCGAAAGCCUGACGCAGCGACGCCGCGUGAGGGAUGAAGGUUUUCGGAUCGUAAAGCUCUGUCAGCAGGGAAGAACGGUCACUUUGCUAAUCAGCAGUGAAUUGACGGUACCUUCCAAGGAAGCACCGUCUAACUCCGUGCCAGCAGCCGCGGUAAUACGGAGGGUGCUAGCGUUCAUCGGAAUUACUGGGCGUAAAGCGCUCGUAGGCGGUAUGUCAAGUCAAGGGUGAAAUCCCCGCGCUCAACGUGGGAACUGCCUUUGAAACUGGCAAGCUGGAGUGUGUGAGAGGAUAGUGGAAUUCCAGGUGUAGGAGUGAAAUCCGUAGAUAUCUGGAGGAACAUCAGUGGCGAAGGCGACUAUCUGGCACAUAACUGACGCUGAGGAGCGAAAGCGUGGGUAGCAAACAGGAUUAGAUACCCUGGUAGUC